RNAcentral lists this ribosomal RNA (253 nucleotides) under uncultured bacterium. RNAcentral describes it as "partial 16S ribosomal RNA". It matches the Rfam family "Bacterial small subunit ribosomal RNA", at positions 524 to 776 of the family's 1533-position model. The record is from RNAcentral.
UACGAAGGGGGCUAGCGUUGUUCGGAAUUACUGGGCGUAAAGCGCGCGCAGGCGGUUCUUUAAGUCAGGGGGGAAAGCCCAGAGCUCAACUCUGGAAUUGCCUUUGAAACUAGAGGACUUGAGUACGGGAGAGGUGAGUGGAAUUCCGAGUGUAGAGGUGAAAUUCGUAGAUAUUCGGAAGAACACCAGUGGCGAAGGCGGCUCACUGGCCCGUUACUGACGCUCAGGCGCGACAGCGUGGGGAGCAAACAGG